GGUGCUGCUGGCCUGGCCGGUGGGCGGCCUGCUUGCGGCCGGCGCAGCCUGGAUCAUCGGCAAGGCGGCGCUG
Molecule: transfer RNA, 73 nt
Filed under: Roseovarius halotolerans
Lineage: Bacteria; Pseudomonadati; Pseudomonadota; Alphaproteobacteria; Rhodobacterales; Roseobacteraceae
Description: tRNA-Ala
Source: RNAcentral